UUCAGAGGUCUCGAGCGUUGUUCGGAUUUACUGGGCGUAAAGGGAGCGUAGGCGGCCGGGUGUGUCGAAUGUGAAAGCCCACAACUCAACUGUGGAAUGGCAUUCGAAACUACCUGGCUAGAGUACUGGAGAGGAGAGCGGAAUUCUUGGUGUAGCGGUGAAAUGCGCAGAUAUCAAGAGGAACACCAGCGGCGAAGGCGGCUUGCUGGACGGCAACUGACGUUGAGGAUCGAAAGCGUGGGGAGCAAACAGGAUUAGA
RNAcentral lists this ribosomal RNA (259 nucleotides) under uncultured prokaryote. Its description in RNAcentral is "partial 16S ribosomal RNA". It matches the Rfam family "Bacterial small subunit ribosomal RNA", at positions 524 to 782 of the family's 1533-position model. The record is from RNAcentral.